AGAGUUCGAUCAUGGCUCAGGAUGAACGCUGGCGGCGUGCUUAACACAUGCAAGUCGAGCGAAGCGCUUUAAAGUUUUCGGACAUUAAAGUGACUGAGCGGCGGACGGGUGAGUAACGCGUGGGUAACCUGCCUCAUACAGGGGGAUAACAGUUAGAAAUGACUGCUAAUACCGCAUAAGCACACAGGAUUGCAUGAUCCAGUGUGAAAAACUCCGGUGGUAUGAGAUGGACCCGCGUCUGAUUAGGUAGUUGGUGAGGUAACGGCUCACCAAGCCGACGAUCAGUAGCCGACCUGAGAGGGCGACCGGCCACAUUGGGACUGAGACACGGCCCAA
RNAcentral lists this ribosomal RNA (336 nucleotides) under uncultured bacterium. RNAcentral's name for it is "bacterial SSU rRNA". It matches the Rfam family "Bacterial small subunit ribosomal RNA", at positions 8 to 334 of the family's 1533-position model. The record is from RNAcentral.